Molecule: ribosomal RNA, 678 nt
Filed under: uncultured fungus
Lineage: Eukaryota; Fungi
Description: eukaryotic LSU rRNA
Rfam family: 5.8S ribosomal RNA (bases 264-418)
Source: RNAcentral
CUCGGUCAGGUAGAGGAAGUAUAAGUCGUAACAAGGUAUCCGUAGGUGAACGUGCGGAAGGAUCUUUAUCGAAAUUGUUGGUGAGGGUUGUAGCUGGCCUUUCGAGGCAUGUGCACGCUCGAGCCCUUAAUCCACUUUACACCUGUGCACUUAAUGUAGGUCGCCCUUAAAAAAGGUGACCUAUGUCUUAUCAUCAACCCAUCGUAUGUCUCAUAGAAUGUAAUCGAUAUCCUCGCCCUGAAAAAGCGUUGAUAAACUUAUACAACUUUCAACAACGGAUCUCUUGGCUCUCGCAUCGAUGAAGAACGCAGCGAAAUGCGACAAGUAAUGUGAAUUGCAGAUUUUCAGUGAAUCAUCGAAUCUUUGAACGCACCUUGCGCUCCUUGGUAUUCCGAGGAGCAUGCCUGUUUGAGUGUCAUUAAAUUCUCAACUCCAAGGGUUUCACGACCUUUCGGAGAUUGGACUUGGAGGUGCUGGCCGCAUAUUGGUCGGCUCCUCUCAAAUGCAUCAGCGGAAUUCAACCUUUGGCUUCCGGAUGUCAGUGUGAUAAUCAUGUUGCGCUGUCGUUUGAUCCCUCAGAGUCCGCUUAUAAUGGUCUUCGGACAAAAUCAUCAUCAAAUUUGACCUCAAAUCAGGUAGGACUACCCGCUGAACUUAAGCAUAUCAAUAAGCGGAGAA